This is an RNA transcript of Myotis lucifugus (little brown bat), 1121 nucleotides long. It is a transcript of the gene named cytochrome c oxidase assembly factor 4 homolog, mitochondrial, with no coding region annotated. The transcript has 4 exons. NCBI's taxonomy places the organism in Eukaryota, Metazoa, Chordata, Mammalia, Chiroptera, Vespertilionidae. The record is from RefSeq and is a predicted model, not a curated record.
UCGGUGAAGCGUGACGGGCACUGCGAGGGCGCAGGGCCACCUGCAUUUCUCUGCGUCGCCAUUCUUCCCCUGCCUUCCCCAUCCCGACCAGCUUCCCAUUCCAGCUGCCGACCCCCUAGCCCGCCCUGAUCCCUGAGCAGGGAGGGGUCUUCCUCUUUUUACUCCAGGGGAGACUGAAGCAGGGAUGAGGUGGGGAAAGAGCAGGGUGGCACCUACGGAGUCCCGGGGUAGCCCAAGCAUUUGGCAUCAUUACGUUAACGCUGCAGUAGUUCUGUGACUUACAUGUUCCUUACGGAGGAAACGGAAAAAGACUGCCGGAGAUUCCCAAAGAUGUCAUCUCAAGGACAUACUUGGGCCCGUCAGGUGAAGAAAGAGGGUGAGGAAGAGGACCCCCUGGACCUGCUGAUCUCCCGCUCUGGCUGUGCUGCUUCCCACUAUGCAGUGCAGGAGUGCAUGGCCCAGCACCAGGACUGGCGACAGUGCCAGCCACAGGUGCAGGCCUUCAAGGACUGCAUGAGUGAACAGCAGGCAAGACGGCGAGAGGAGCUGCAGAGGAGGAAGGAGCAAGACAGUACCCACAGCUGAGCCCCCAAACCAUCUAUCCCCAGAGGAUGGCCUGCAGAAACUAGCACCCAGACAAAUCCUAAAUAGUGGAAGUGUGGGCCAAAAGAGGAGGAAAUACAGGUCAGAUUGAGGAUCAUACUCCAAGUGUGUCUUGUUCUACAGCCUAUGCUGUUUUCUGCUCUGCUCUUUCACAAGCAUCUGGUGCCUAGUAUGAUGCUUAACACAGUUACUGUACCUACAAAAUGAAGUUCUCCUGGAAAGGAAUGGGCAGCUUCCCUUGCCAGUCUGGGCUGUGACAUCAGCCAAUGAAAGGCAAGGGAAUAUUGCUGGCAUUACUUUAAGAUGAAUACAGUGACUAUCUUCUACAAUUAACUUGUCUUGAGACUCACCUUCCAUCAAGAAAGUUUCUCAACUAGAAAUAAUCAAACCUACAUAAAUGCCCAUCAAGAGGGGGAACUUGUUAAAUAAAUCAUGGAACACCCAUUUACAAGCACAUUAUGCAGCUGUAAGAAGGAAAAAGAGCCGAAACCGGUUUGGCUCAGUGGAUAGAGCGUUGG